GAUGAAGAACGCAGCAAAAUGCGAUAAGUAAUGGGAAUUGCAGAAUUCAGUGAAUCAUCGAAUCUUUGAACGCACAUUGCGCCCGCCAGUAUUCUGGCGGGCAUGCCUGUUCGAGCGUCAUUUCAACCCUCAAGCCCUCGGGUUUGGUGUUGGGGAUCGGCGAGCCUUUCUGGCAAGCCGGCCCCGAAAUCUAGUGGCGGUCUCGCUGCAGCCUCCAUUGCGUAGUAGUAAAACCCUCGCAACUGGAACGCGGCGCGGCCAAGCCGUUAAACCCCCAACUUCUGAAUGUUGACCUCGGAUCAGGUAGGAAUACCCGCUGAACUUAAGCAUAUCAAUAAGCGGAGGA
This 346-nucleotide unclassified non-coding RNA is filed under the name soil metagenome. RNAcentral's name for it is "partial contains 5.8S ribosomal RNA, internal transcribed spacer 2, and large subunit ribosomal RNA". The stretch from base 1 to 120 matches the Rfam family "5.8S ribosomal RNA", at positions 35 to 154 of the family's 154-position model. The record is from RNAcentral.